AGUGAACGCUGGCGGCGUGCUUAACACACGCAAGUCGAACGGAUGAAAUAAGCUUGCUUAUUUCGUUAGUGGCGCACGGGUGAGUAAUGUAUAGCUAACCUGCCCUUUAGUGGGGGACAACAGUUGGAAACGACUGCUAAUACCCCAUACUCCUUCUUAUCUAAAGAUAAGUUGGGAAAGAUUUAUUGCUAAAGGAUGGGGCUUUAUGGUAUCAGCUAGUUGGUGGGGUAACGGCCUACCAAGGCGAUGACGCCUACCUGGUCUGAGAGGAUGAUCAGGAACACUGGAACUGAGACACGGUCCAGACUCCUACGGGAGGCAGCAGUGGGGAAUAUUGCACAAUGGAGGAAACUCUGAUGCAGCAACGCCGCGUGGAGGAUGACGCAUUUCGGUGUGUAAACUCCCUUUAUAAGGGAAGAUAAUGACGGUACCUUAUGAAUAAGCACCGGCUAACUCCGUGCCAGCCGCCGCCGUAA
RNAcentral lists this ribosomal RNA (476 nucleotides) under uncultured bacterium. RNAcentral describes it as "partial 16S ribosomal RNA". It matches the Rfam family "Bacterial small subunit ribosomal RNA", at positions 29 to 523 of the family's 1533-position model. The record is from RNAcentral.